RNAcentral lists this long non-coding RNA (369 nucleotides) under Nicotiana benthamiana. Its description in RNAcentral is "long non-coding RNA (NBEN_LNC027355)". Lineage: Eukaryota; Viridiplantae; Streptophyta; Magnoliopsida; Solanales; Solanaceae. The record is from RNAcentral.
CUUCCCAAACCUUAGAGAAGCCAGCCACCCUAAUAUCCUCUGUCAAACCCGCCAGCAGAAACGACACAAACCACUCCGAUCACCCCUAAAAAUACACUAUCGUUUCCUCUCAGCCUCCCCAUUACCAAUCCAUGCUUAGUUCUUCUCAAAACUCCUCCAAACUCCUUGAAUCUUCCUCUGAAUUUAUGAACCCUAGCCGCCGCCUUUGUUCUCUGGUGGCGGCACCACCCCCAAGUCAUACUAAAAUCAUACCACAGACCCUCCUUAUCCUCCUCUUACUAAAACCCUAAUCAGCUUCCCUCAAAUCACCCUAGAAGUCCCCAAAUCUCGAGUCAAGUUCAACCUUGGUUCCGGAUCUUUCCAAUUGGG